ACAAGACAAAGAGGUUUAUAUCCUCUGGAGAAGAAAGAGAGAAAGGGAUUGGGCAGGCGAAGAGAGAAAGGGAUUGGCCCCAAGUCCCCAUCCCCCGAUUCCUCUCCCUCUACCUUUCCCUCGUUGCCGCCGCCGCCACCGACGACCUCCCUGCAGCCGCCGCCAUCAGUCACGCCCUCCCCAAUGGCUGACUCUUCCACCCCUUUUCUCCUCCCCUUAACUUCUCCUCACCAUCGGCGACCUGUCCUCCCCCUCGCACCAGAUCGAGCAGCAGCUCGGGCAGGGCAGAGCGGACGCCACCACCACCACUCAACGCCGGCCUCCCCCACAGCCGCCGCCACCACCCGCGCCCUCCACCACAUCUGGCGCACCCACCCCUUCCAUCCUCUCCUCACCUUCUCCCCACCAACGACGACCUCCUCCCCUCUUCCUCGUCACAGAUCGACCAGCGGGUCCGGAUCUGAUGCAGGCUCAGAUCCGGCACACCCGCAGCGCUUGUUCCACUUGAGGACGUCAUGGACAUGGUGCUCUAGCACUGGUGCUGCAGUCAUGGACAAGGAGAUUAUCACUUUCUACCUCUCUGUGUUGAAUUAAGUUGGUGUUGCUGCAACCUCAACGCCCAAAUAAUCAGCCCUAACCCUAGCCCUUCCUUGGGCAUGGAAACCAAGCAGACGGGAGGUGCAUCACAGGUUGCUACCAUCUAAUGUGUGGAGAGAGCCGAGGAGAAUAUGCUCCGUUACCAUCUUGUGAAGGAGGAUGUUCACCAUCCAAGGUGCUCAACAUCACCAUCAUCUCUCGCUUGCCAAGGGCCAAUGCACAGCGGCCCAAGCUGUUCAUUGGAAUGAUCCUCAUCAUUAUCCUUACCGAAGCUCUUUGCCCUGUACGACCUCAUCGUCGGCAUCAUCUUCUCUUCUACGGUUCUACCUUGUGUCCAUUACUAUCUGGAGCAUUUGUUUUUUAGGAUAAAAUACAAGACCAAACAAGCCAGCCCAAUUGUCGGGAUGCUGGAUAUAGUGGUUGGAGUGUUGCAGCGGCGUCGUGGCAGCGGAUGGUAGCGAGGUAUUUGGUGCCCCGUUCUACUGCACCACCGUUUCCGAGUGGUCUUAUUGAUGGCAGUAAAGAAAUCAGCGGGGAUAGUAGGUUGUCUUCCUUGUCAACUACAUAUGUCGUCUUUGUUGUUGAUGUUGCUACUUCCCUCAGUUGCGAGGUGAGUCUUAAUUGCAGGUUUAUUUACUUAAUUUAUCCUUUUGUGCUGACAUGGGACUUGGGUGGCUGCUUAACACAACGAUCAAGCACAUAUAGAGUUGUUCUGAUUCGUGCAAUGCUGCGUAGAACCACAAAAAAGAGGGUGACAGAUCAUGUGCAAAGUUAAUCCAACAUCCUUCAGAGCUCAUUAAUGGAGCUUGCACUCUCUUUUCCAUGUUAAAGUUUGGAACAUGGAAAAUGUUCACAGGCUUGAUAUGUGCUUCCGUCCUUCUGUAAUGUAGAUUUAAAAUAUAUAAGGUUUUCUGAUUGUCAUUUAUUUCCUAUUUUUGAUUCAUGGAUGACAGUAAUCUACCUACAACACUCGAAUGGUUUCAAGAAAUUGGUGAAAACAAGUGAUGUGUUUUCAAUCUUUGAUGUGUGAAGAUGUGCAUUGUGUGUGGAUGUAAGGAGAAAUGGAAGGAUUUAUGGCAACAUGCAACAAUUUUGUUGCUUACUUGUACAUACUAUUUUUUAUUUACUGAUAUUCGUCGCAAUAUACCUAUGUAUCACACAUACUACGAGGAGACAAAGUCUUAAUUAAUAAUUGGAACCUGUAACUCAUAUAUGUCCUUUGUUAAGGAUGCAUUUUUUGUUUUAUAGGUCAGACUGAAUUAUAUGUUCCUGUCCAAGCCCUGUUCACUGGCAUUGCCUCUUGAUUCCCUUCUCAGAACAGAAGAUCCACGCUAAACAUAACAAGUUCAUUAGAGGAGCAAAUGUUGUUUAUCACCGCAUCUCUUCACAUGUUGACAAGCCCGAUAUUUAUGAAGGCACUAUACAAGGCGCUGGCGCCAUACCUGCUCGGUAUGGACAGGAGAAGAUGCAGGGGCUCCGCUUCUUGGCCUCGGUGACGUCCUCGUGCCCCUCCACCGCUGGUGUUGUUGCUCGGGCGGCACUACCGGUCUACUAUGGCAGGCCUGCUUGUUGCUCAGGUUUAAAGAAGAAUCAAGGAUCAGUUCAAUGGUAAUUGGACUGCUGAUGACACUUGUUUGAACACAUGUGAUCCUCAUAAUAGAGUUGCCGUGAGUACCUUGCAGCCUCGCUACUUCGUUUUGUCCUGUUUGAUGGAAUACUACUACGUUGUGUGCCCCUUUCGAUUUUGGCAUGACGAUUAGAGCAGAUAGCGUUUCUGCUGAGCAUGGCAUGUUUGUUUGUCUCAGGUUGUAAAUUUUCUUAUAAUUUUGUAAUUUUAGACCUUCCUCUUAUUAAAAGUAUCUUAGACCUUCCUGUAAAUAGAGAGGCAAAUUUUUCUUAUUAAAAAUAUUUGCAUUUAAGUUUGAAAUAUUUAUGUUGCAUCAGCUCACACUAUUAUUAUUUUUUGUAUAACAUGACCCUCUGAUUCAGUUAUUGGGGUUCAUUAC
This is a long non-coding RNA of Triticum aestivum (bread wheat), 2603 nucleotides long. RefSeq lists it as uncharacterized. The transcript is spliced from 7 exons. Lineage: Eukaryota; Viridiplantae; Streptophyta; Magnoliopsida; Poales; Poaceae. The record is from RefSeq and is a predicted model, not a curated record.